Molecule: long non-coding RNA, 662 nt
Filed under: Carica papaya (papaya)
Lineage: Eukaryota; Viridiplantae; Streptophyta; Magnoliopsida; Brassicales; Caricaceae
Description: long non-coding RNA (CPAP_LNC001455)
Source: RNAcentral
UGACCACAAAAACCCUAGCCGCCUGCCCUCGCCGGAGAAGACGAACCAGACGCCGGAGGAGCCGGCCGCCGCCACCCGCCGCCGCACCGGGGAGUUUUUCGAUCGCCGAUCGAGGUAAAUUUCAUACUCCCGGCUCGUUUUUCAACGCUGAGUUCCCCUGUGGCCAAAUCAGAGCCAAAAUUCCGGCCAAACAGCCGGAAAACACGACCAAAACCCAGCGCCGCCGCCGCGUCCCUCCUCGAUUUUUGCCUCCGAUGAGGCCCUUCCCGGCCUCCGUUUGAUACAAUUUUUAUAUCACCGUGAUCACCAUUCUUUUCUCUACAGGUUAAUCGGAGCCAAAUCACCAAAACACGAACCUCGCCGGAGAGCCGCCGCACUCGAGAGCACCGCCGCCGGUAAGCUUCGGUUUUUUCGUAUUUUUUUGGCCCCCGAGGGCCCUAGGGUUGUUUUAUCACGGGGACCGAUGCAAGUGUGGCCGAAUUCAGCCGGAAACGGCAGAAAACAGCCAACCCGAGGCGAAUCGUCGCUGCAAGCGACGGCGCCGUCGCCAGAGCACGGCGGAGCCGUCGUGCCAGAAUUGCGAUAUUGGCCGAAAGGGGCCCUGGGUCUAAUUUGGGAUUUUUUGGGACACGUGCAGGUACCAGUAGUGCGUUUCAGUUCCC